Molecule: long non-coding RNA, 2648 nt
Filed under: Mytilus galloprovincialis (Mediterranean mussel)
Lineage: Eukaryota; Metazoa; Mollusca; Bivalvia; Mytilida; Mytilidae
Source: RNAcentral
UUUAUUGUGUUUUUACAUUUUAUUUGUUUAGAUGUAUUUUUGUACUUUUGUACAGAAGUGUCAAAUUAGUUAAAUGAUUAUUGUCAUUAUGUUGUCUUGUUAAGCUUGUUAUUAUUGUUUUUAUUGUUUUUGUACAGAGGAUAACAGAACAGAUAAUAUCAUAUAACGACUUUAAAAUGCAUACUGCCAACUCAUUAUAAACUUUGCAUAUUAUGCUUAGCAAAGAAUUUUGAUACAAACCUCUCUCUAAAAGUCAAGUAUAAGAGAAGAUGCAAUAAGUGUACAGUGGUCUGAGUUUUAAUUUGAAUUUAUGAAUUUUACUUGGGAUUUUUUUUUUCUCAGUGAUAUAUUGAAAAAGGGUCCUAAAGUAGCCAUGAUUUCAUAAUUAAAGUAUUUCUUAUGUCAAGAGAAGUAACAUUUUAGUUUGUAAAUGAAAGGAACUACGUUUUAACAUCUUUUGAGCUUAAUUUGAAAAUAUCUUGCAUGUACAAUCUCGAGAAUUUAAAGAUUUGUCAACUGAGCAAAUUUGCCUUACAAAUUAAAUAAAAAAAUCUGUCUCAUAUUUUGUCAAUGAAAAUAUCAGUAAAUAUUCAUAUUAUUUGAAGAAAACAACAUUUGAACUUAAACCUCAUCUGUCAAGGAUUUUAAUUCUCAAAAUUUUAUAGGCGAAACAUUACACUUAAUGCAUCUUUUCUAUGUAUCUUGUUUUCUGUUCAAACAUUCCAGCUAAUCGUACACUAACAUGUAAAUAUAUAUACAUAUUGUGUAUAAUUGUCUGCCUAAACAUAUGUAGUAUAAGUCUAUAGUAGAAACUAGUCAGUGUGUAUCAGUAUUAUAAUGUUGUAAUGAGAGACUUUGUAUGUGCUAGGACUAUGCUUUGUAGUUAUUUUAGCAUUUAAUUUUUUAAAUAUUGCAUUAAAAUUUGCAUGCAGUUUAAUAAGGAGUAAAAUUUCAGUGUAUGAAAAUGUAACACAAAUUCCUAUUAAUCUAUAGCUAUGUUUUGGGGCAAAAAUAUGUAUACAGUACCUUGCUUUUUUAUAUAUAUAUUUCUGUAUAAAUGACGAAUUGCUGUAAAUUCUUUGCUUCAGAUGCUCAUCAUAACACAAUGCUAUUUUCAGUAGGAUUAGAUGAAAAAUUAUAAAAAAUAAGGUAUACAUAUUUGCACUUUUUUUUAGAAUUAAGAAUAUUUUAGUUCAUAGGGAAAAUAUGUAAUCAGUUCUUCAGUAUUGAAUUUGCUUUUAAUAUACAUGCAUAAUAUUUUAUAAACAACACCAGUGCUUAUGCUUCUAGGAGAUUAUUUACUAGCUGAUUUUUGUUUUUAGAUAUAACUAAAUUAGCUCAAAAGCAAAAUGUAUAUUUUUUUUUAAAAAGUCUUUCAAAUUAACUUUCCUUCAAAGUCUGGUUUUACAGUAUUCCUAAUCAAGUGAAGUUCACAGAAUAUUUAUGUGUCUUGUCAAGUUUUAUUUUAAUCUUGCUGUGAUCACACUAGUUUUAAUGUUUCACAUAUCAGUAUUUGUUUUGCUCAGAUUUUCCACUGAAUUAAGCCAGCUCUCAGCUUGUCACAUUAUAUGUAUGUCACUAGAAAUGUUCACUGAUAAUCAAAGGCCUAUUUUUUCUGGUACAAAUUGUUUUUGAAGAUUUGCCUUUUUAAUUUACAUAAUUUUUGCUUAUCGUUGGUGGAGGAUAAUAUAACAGUGUGUUCUUCACUCGUUAACUAGCAAGUUUGAAUGGGUAGCUCUAAAAUAUAAAACUUUAAGCUACACCUAUAGUGUUUAUGUCAUAAAAUCAUCAUUUUAUUUUAGAAAAAUUACAUAACUAAAAUGUCUACAAAAUAAAUAAUUAUCAUUGACCGUUGCACACUGCUUCUUAUGUAUGCAUACUUUCAUGCCAGAAAUUAUGUGACACUAGUGUAGUUAAAAAAUAUAUAUUUAAUUAUAAACUUUAAAUGCACUUCAUAUUUUUCCAUUUUCUAUUCUUGUAUAAAAUUUUAUUAAUUUUUUACUCUUCUUACAAACUAGAAAUUACAGGCAUUUUUGAAAUAUAUAUUGGUUCAUUGAGCUUUGCUUUGGUAGAAAAUAUUUUUAGGAAGCUUUUACUAAAUAAAGUUUUUUAGAUUAUGAUAUUAUGGAUUCUGUCCCUUGUCUAUCUCUAGAUUUGGACACAAAUUUAUACAAAUCACAUAUUGAGAAAAAUAUGGUUGUUAUUUAUUUGCAAUAAAUAGAACUUUUCUUAAAGAGAAUAAUAUUAAUCUUGUAGCUGAUAGAUGCUUUAAAUCUUUAUGAAUUUGGAAAUAAAUAUCUUGACAUACUUUUCAAAUAAAAUAACCAGUAUUAUAUAUACAGUCAUUUUUUAAAUUGAGAAUUUUGGUAUGAAUAUAUAUAAAAAAAAAAAUAAUUCAAACGCAAAUAACAACUGUCAUUAUAAACUAAUUGUUUAGACAUUCAAGAGUUACUGUAUGAAAGUAGACAAUGGCAUUGAAAGUUUGGUAUAAAAACAAGUUAAUGAAAUUAUCCAUAUUUCAAUUAUUUUAUAAUUUAAAAGAACUUUGGCAAACAUUUACAAGAGAAAAGGUAGUGUAUACAGCAUAUAUAGUUACCAUGAAAAAGAUCAAGUGAAACAAAUAGGUACAUUGUUAUGAAAUUGUGAUA